UGGGGAUACUUGGAUAUUGAGCGGGCUUCUAACUUGCUUCAGGAGCAGUUCGAAUCUGUUCAUCCCCUG
RNAcentral lists this transfer RNA (69 nucleotides) under Scrobicularia plana. RNAcentral's name for it is "tRNA-Ser". The record is from RNAcentral. Lineage: Eukaryota; Metazoa; Mollusca; Bivalvia; Cardiida; Scrobiculariidae.